Nicotiana tabacum (common tobacco) is the source of this 377-nucleotide non-coding RNA. NCBI's taxonomy places the organism in Eukaryota, Viridiplantae, Streptophyta, Magnoliopsida, Solanales, Solanaceae. The record is from RefSeq and is a predicted model, not a curated record.
UUUCAUCUGGAGAAAUAUUUGAUUGAUCAUGUUGUUAUAUCUACUAAUGCCUCUCUUUAUACAUCAUACAAAGUUAAACUAAUAGAGAGCAAAGUUGAUUGGAGUUGACAGUCUUGGCAUGGAUGUCAGAGUUCUCUCGGGAACAGAAGUGCAAACUCAUCGUUUCCCCUUCAAAGUUAGGGCAACAUCAGAGGUUGCUGCUGAGAAACAGAUCCGGCAGCUUCUGUUUCCCAGGUCCCGUCGCAAAAAGUUUAGGACUCCCGAAAGAGCUGGAGAUUUGGACUCACUUUAAAUUUAAUCUUACUGUUUGGGAGCAGAUCUUGUGAAUAAACGUAUUAUCUAUAUUUCAAUAAAUUCUUGCAUGCAGUUGGUUCUCA